RNAcentral lists this ribosomal RNA (461 nucleotides) under Lachnospiraceae bacterium canine oral taxon 024. Its description in RNAcentral is "bacterial SSU rRNA". It matches the Rfam family "Bacterial small subunit ribosomal RNA", at positions 9 to 452 of the family's 1533-position model. Lineage: Bacteria; Bacillati; Bacillota; Clostridia; Lachnospirales; Lachnospiraceae. The record is from RNAcentral.
GAGUUUGAUUAUGGCUCAGGAUGAACGCUGGCGGCGUGCCUAACACAUGCAAGUCGAACGAAGCAUAUAGAAGGAAGUUUUCGGAUGGAAUUUUAUAUGACUUAGUGGCGGACGGGUGAGUAACGCGUGGAUAAUCUGCCUUACACAGCGGGAUAACAAGUGGAAACAGUUGCUAAUACCGCAUAAGCUCACAGUAUCGCAUGAUACAGGGUGAAAAGAUUUAUCGGUGUAAGAUGAGUCCGCGUCCCAUUAGCUAGUUGGUGAGGUAAAAGCUUACCAAGGCGACGAUGGGUAGCCGGCCUGAGAGGGUGAACGGCCACAUUGGGACUGAGACACGGCCCAGACUCCUACGGGAGGCAGCAGUGGGGGAUAUUGCACAAUGGGCGAAAGCCUGAUGCAGCGACGCCGCGUGAAGGAUGAAGUAUUUCGGUAUGUAAACUUCUAUCAGCAGGGAAGAAAAU